UCACUUCCAUUUACCAACUUUGUUUAUCUUGUAUCCAUAGCAGGUUAUCAAUAUUCUAAAAGCAUUACCAAACAAUCCCCCCAACCACAGCCCACCAAAUCUAGCACCCAUGCUUACUCUGCUUCUUUAAGAGAUACAUUCAGAUUCCAGCAUCCUCCAUAGACACUUAUCUUAUAUAAAAAGGUCUUUAAUAUUUGAGCCAAACUCCUCUUAAAGUUGCCAGAUAAACUUACCAUUAACUCCCUGUCCGGGGAAAAUCUGAAUGUUGAAUUCUUCAACUUUUUUUUUUUUAUUUGAGACCGAGUCUAGCUUCUGUUGCUCAGGCUGGAGUGCAGUGGCCCGAUCUUGGCUCACUGCAACCUCUGCCUCCCAGGUUCAAGCAAUUCUCCUGUCUCAGCCUCCCGAGUAGCUGGGAUUACAGGCACACACCACCAUGCCCAGCUAAGUUUUGUAUUUUUAGUAGAGGCGGGGUUUCACUAUGUUGGCCAGGCUGGUCUCGAACUCAGGUGAUCCACCUACCUUGGCCUCCCAAAGUGCUGGGAUUACAGGCGUGAGCCACUGCACCCAGCAAUUUUUUUUUUUUGAGGCACAGUUUCAUUCUGUCAUCCAGGCUAGAGUGCAGUGGCACGAUCUUGGCUCACUGCAACCUCCGCCUCCUGGCUUCAAGUGAUUCUCGUGCCUCAGCCUCCUGAGUAGCUGGGAUUACAGGUGCCCGCCACCAUGCCUGGCUAAUUUUUGUAUUUUCAGUAAAGACAGGGUUUCACCAUGUUGGCCAGGCUGGCCUUGAAUUCCUGACCUCAAGUGAUCCACCCGCCUCGGCCUCCCAAAGUGCUGGGAUUACAGGCGUCAGCCACUGCGCCCGGCCAAUUCUUCAAAAUUUAAUGUGAAUAUUACAUUCUCUGACGACUAUCUGUAUCCAUUUUUAUAAUAUAAUGGCUGAUUCUUUCAUAUCAUACAGCAUAUUCCAAGCAACCUUAAUGAAGACUAGCUGAUGUGUGGUCAGGAAAUGAAACUGAAUUUUAAUAUGGGCCAAAUAAAAAUAUAAUUAAGAAGAUUAAUCUGUCAAAGUUAAAGAAAAAUUGCCUGGUAUUUUCUUUUUUUUUUUCUCUUACUCCUCAGGGAUCCUUGUUCUGAUGCCUGGUAUUUUCUGAGGCUAAAUGUAAAGAAGGGUUAAUUAUCACCUGCUGUGCUGGCCUGGGGACUAACUGGGUCAUGCUGAGAUCCUACGGAAGCAGCAGAACUAUAGUUACCAAACAGCCUGAAAUGAGCCUGAGAACGCAUAGCAAGAGACAGGAGGAAAGCCAAGAGAACAUGCUAUCACAGAAGGCAAGUAAAGACAAAGCUUCAAGAAGGAGGGAGU
This 1360-nucleotide long non-coding RNA is filed under the name Homo sapiens (human). RNAcentral's name for it is "HSALNT0213219". The record is from RNAcentral. Lineage: Eukaryota; Metazoa; Chordata; Mammalia; Primates; Hominidae.